CUCGCAGGCGCAGCCAACCUGUUUUGGCGGGCCCAAUUCAGCACCAGGAGCGGACAUCAUUGCUGUACGCCAUCGUUGAGGUCUAUGGAGAAUCCAGUGAGACCAUGGUCCAAAGACAGAGCUAAUUCACUGCAGCGGUCAAAAUAGUUCGUACUUUAUCUCAGUAUAUCUCUUGACUGGAUUGAAAUUCCAACACAGUCAAUAAGAGUAUUUCAUUUAUCUUUAUGAAAUACUAAUUACCAAUAAAAAAAAGUUUUAAAUGUAAUAGAACUAUGGUGAAACGAUCAAGAAGGCUGAAGUAUAUCUUAUGUGUACAUAAUGUUAGCCAAAGUGAAGAUAAAAUGUUUUCCCCCACAAAGAAAAC
This is a non-coding RNA of Pelobates cultripes (western spadefoot toad), 364 nucleotides long. The record is from the annotation of a GenBank genome assembly. NCBI's taxonomy places the organism in Eukaryota, Metazoa, Chordata, Amphibia, Anura, Pelobatidae.